Long non-coding RNA from Eucalyptus grandis, 856 nucleotides. RefSeq lists it as uncharacterized. The transcript is spliced from 2 exons. NCBI's taxonomy places the organism in Eukaryota, Viridiplantae, Streptophyta, Magnoliopsida, Myrtales, Myrtaceae. The record is from RefSeq and is a predicted model, not a curated record.
AAUCCCCCUCCCUCCCCCUCCCCCACUUGACUUUCCCGUUCACUGAACCCAACCCCCUUCUCUCUCCCUCUCUCUCUGUCUCUCUGCUUCUCCUUCUCCCCUGCUUUUUCUAUAAUUCAAUUCCCAUUCAAUUCACAAUAAUUACUCUUCCCCCAUCAGGCCAAUACACUGCACCAAAUCUUUAUUCGUUCGUUCGUUCGUUCGUUCGUUCACCUCGUCCGUCCCCUCCCCCUGCCCCCUUCCCAGAAAUAGCAGGGGAACCCUCCACCGUUCGUUGCCUUUCACCUGCCGCUCCCUCUUUGUCUUUCUUGGCUGAGUUAUUGAACCAGCGCGCACUCGGUCCGCUUCGCCUGCGCGUUUCCCGUUUCUGGGUCUUCUUGAUUCGGUGGAGUCGAACCGAGAACGAGACGAAAGUUGAAGAAGAAUUUGGAACAGAGCGAGGGCGCCCGGAGGGGCUGAGAUGCGAAGGAGUCUUCCCUGGCCGAACCCGUCUUCCUUCUGCUCCGCGCGUUCUUGUCCGGGGUUGAGAUCUCCGCAUAACAGCUGCCGUCUCAUUCAGCAUCACAGCUGGAUCAUGGGGACUUGCCGUGGCUUUGGAUCUGAACUCUAGCGUCUCAGAGUUGGAAUUAGCACAUGUCAGCCGUGUCUUGCUGUUUAAACAACGUCGGUGAGGAUAUUGAGAUAAGGGAGUUGAUCGGAUAUAAGGGAAUUGAUCGAGCGUUAGGCACUUUCGUCGCCUGCUCGUCUUCGGUUCAUUUGGUUACCGUUCAGAUAAGCAUUGGCCCCAUCUGCCGUGCCGGGAAUUUCGAGCCACUGGAGCAUUCGUAUUUGUAGAUGAAUUUCGAACUUGAUCGAG